GGCGACUCUACAAGCCUCACAGCAUGCACUGUUACUAAAAAGACGAUGCGUCCUCCUGGACCUGAGAUCUGUGUGAUCGUGGGAAAGCGACGAAAAACACAACCCACCUGAGGCACCAGACACAUGAGUGAAGCCAUCUUGGACAUCCCAGUCACAGCCAAACUCACUCCUGAGUGCAUCUGCAUGAUGAACCCAGCAAUCCCCACCAUGGAGCAAAGGAUCCAUCCAGUCAACCCAAAGAAUCGUGAAAAAUAAUAAAUUGUUGUUUUAAAGUUCUUCA
Long non-coding RNA from Homo sapiens (human), 280 nucleotides. The record is from Ensembl. Lineage: Eukaryota; Metazoa; Chordata; Mammalia; Primates; Hominidae.